GUGAAUCAUCGAAUUUUUGAACGCAAAUUGCGCUUUUUUCGGAAGGCAUGUCUGUUUGAGGGUAACAUUUAAAAAAUUCUGUGCCGCGUUUUUUGCUGCACACGUUGAUGCGCUUUUCAAGAUAUCUAAAUUCUUGGUGGCGCAUAAUGAAAAGCGUGCAUGACUUUUUCAGUUCGAGUGUAGUAAAAUCUUUGCUUAGGUUGUGAAAAAACAUAAUUGAGCAAUGGGUGUGGCA
This 235-nucleotide unclassified non-coding RNA is filed under the name Paraglomerales sp. Its description in RNAcentral is "partial contains 5.8S ribosomal RNA and internal transcribed spacer 2". The stretch from base 1 to 65 matches the Rfam family "5.8S ribosomal RNA", at positions 84 to 154 of the family's 154-position model. The record is from RNAcentral. Lineage: Eukaryota; Fungi; Glomeromycota; Glomeromycetes; Paraglomerales.